CCCACCUCCCGAGCUGCGGUACCGGGUUCCGCCCCGGCCCGCGCCCUCUAGCUGGCGCCACCCAAGCGGCAAGGGACGUCGCGGCCCUCCCGGGAUUGGUGGGAGGAUCGUGGGGGAGCGGCAGCUCAGGACGGAAUACGGCAAUGACCGCCCCGGUCGCGAGGGUGACCCUGCCCCGGGCUGCUGUGGGGGCGCAAGAACCCUUUCACUUUACGGCGAGAUUAAGCUCAGGGUCAAGUUCUGAGCAAAAAGUGUCAAGGAGCCUUUUUGCAACCUCCUAUAAUAUUGAAACAGAUUCUGUGCCCUUUAAAGGAGAUAAUAACUAACAUCUGGGGAGCGCUUUACAAUUUAGAAAAGGCCUUUCACACACAGGCCUGUUUCAUCUUCACAACAAUCUUAUAAAACAGAUAUAUUGUUCCCAUUUCCCAAAUAAUGAAACGGAAGCGCCGAAAAUAUCUCCUAUAGGGCUCUUCAAACUGUGGUCAACUUAGUAAAUGAUGUUGACAGUGGAAGUGUGAUCAUUUUAUUUUCCUGCCUUUGGAAUUGAAGAUUGUAAUUUUGCAAAAAUUUUGUUGAAGAUGAUGUAGCUUUGGUUCAGAGAGCUGGAGUGCAAUGGUGCGAUCUCAGAUCACUACAACCUCUGCAGCUCUGGUUCAAAGUCAUUCUCCUGCCUCAGCCUCCCAAGUAGCUGGGAUUACAGGUGCCUGCCACCACCACAUGUGGCUAAUAUUUUGUAUUUUUAGUAGAGACAGGGUUUCACCACAUUGGCCAGGCUGGUCUCAAACUCCCGACCUCAGGUGAUCCACCCGCCUUGGCCUCCCAAAGUGCUGGGCUUACAGGCAUGAGCCACUGCACCCAGCAGGAAAAAUUUAAUAUAAAGGUUACUAACUAAUAAAACAUGGUUAACUAUUAAGACAGAUAAAGGAUAACUCUAAAGAAUACCAGAACCUGGGCACAAGGGCUCAUGCCUGUAAUUCCAGCACUUUAGGAGGCCAAGGUAGGAGGAUCACUUGAGCCCAGGUGUUCAAGAACAGCUUAGGCAACAUAGUGAGACCCCAUCUCUACAAAAAAUUAAAAAACAGCCAGGCAUAGUGGUACAUACCUGUAGUCUCAGCUCCUCAGGAGGCUGAGGUUAGAGGAUAGUUUGAACCUAGGAGGUUGAGGCUGCAGUGAAUCAUGAUUGUAUCACUGCACUCCAGCUUGGGUAACAGAGUGAGACCGUUUCUAAAAAUUAAAAAAAAAAAAAAAAGGCAGCUGGAUGCAGUGGCUAGCACCUGUAAUCCCAGCUACUUGGGAGGCUGAGGCAGGAGGAUCACUUGAGGUCAGGAGUUGGAGACCAUCCUGGGCAACUUAGCAAGAUCCCUAUCUCUUAAAAAAAAAAAAAAAAGGAAGAAGAAGAAAAAGCAAAUGUAAACAGCAUGACUACCUCUAAGGCUGAGGGAGAACAUCCAAGGGAGUAACAGACUUGGAAGAGAUCUCAACCCUGAGGCUAAAAUUCAGACCCCCUUGGAGAGGACGGGGCUGUAGCUAGAUGGCAGAGAAAUUAUAUGUGUAAAUGACAGAGGAAUUCACUGGAGUGCUGCAGAUAGAGGUGGUGGUGCAGCUGCAGGUGGGGAUGGUGAGCUGGAAGCCAUCUACUGGGGUGAGGUGGAAGCUUAUUGGAGAGUGAGUGCCAAUGGAACUCCAUAGGUGACACCAUAAGAACAAAAUCUACAACAAGGAGAUCUAGGAAGGGCAGCUACUGCCUCUCUGCUAUGCCUGCAGUGUCUCUCUAGUGCCCUCUGCUGAUAAGCCUAACAUUGCACCAGCUGGCAAAUGAGAAAUGUUCAUGGGAUCCAGAUCCAGAUCAGUUAACUCCAAACAAGAAAAAGAAAGAUUGCUUUGGACUAAGGAGCAAUAAAUUGAUAACUGGCACAGUGUUACCCUCCCUUUUUUGUUUUUGUUUUUCCAUUCACGGCUAUACUGUCAAUAUCCAUUCAUGCUCUAUAUGUAUGAUUAUUGGACAUUCUAUUUUUAUACACUCCCUGGUUUUCUUUUCCUUUCAUUGUUUUGGGGCUAUUUUAUAGCUCUGAAAGUUGUAGAAAACUAAUAACAAUGUAAAAGAUUUUUAGUUCAUAGAAAUGAAAAUUAUUUGUGUCUGGUGGAAUAUAGUAGAUUAACCACCCUGUGGUUAGACCAUUUUCCAUCUUUUAAAUAAAUGCAUUCUAGCAUUCCUUGUUGCCUAUUUAUGUGUGUUUUUUUGAAUUA
RNAcentral lists this long non-coding RNA (2247 nucleotides) under Homo sapiens (human). Its description in RNAcentral is "non-protein coding AFF1-AS1:14". Lineage: Eukaryota; Metazoa; Chordata; Mammalia; Primates; Hominidae. The record is from RNAcentral.